This 216-nucleotide non-coding RNA is filed under the name Syntrophomonas wolfei. RNAcentral's name for it is "T-box sequence". It matches the Rfam family "T-box leader". From Rfam's summary of the family: Uncharged tRNA acts as the effector for transcription antitermination of genes in the T-box leader family. T-boxes are found upstream of many aminoacyl-tRNA synthetase genes and some amino acid biosynthetic genes usually in Gram-positive bacteria. The record is from RNAcentral. Lineage: Bacteria; Bacillati; Bacillota; Clostridia; Eubacteriales; Syntrophomonadaceae.
CAAAAAACGAUGAUCAGAAGAGUAAUUGCCUUUAACUGAUAGUAGAGAGCCGGGGUAUGCUGAAAACCUGGUAUCAGUUGGGUAAUGAAAGCCACCUGAGAGUGCCGGUGAAAUAUCGUAAGCGAUAGUAAGCCGGACGGAAUCCAUCCGUUAUUGGAAUAGAGCCGGGCCUUGGCCAAUCAGGGUGGUACCGCGGGAGCAACUCUCGUCCCUUAC